This 2442-nucleotide long non-coding RNA is filed under the name Varroa destructor (honeybee mite). RNAcentral describes it as "uncharacterized LOC111251218". Lineage: Eukaryota; Metazoa; Arthropoda; Arachnida; Mesostigmata; Varroidae. The record is from RNAcentral.
AACACAUGUUGUCACCUUGUUGUACCUCUAGGAAAACAUAGUUACCCACUACCAUUGGAUACCUAAAACGCAAAGUCCUCUCGUUUCAUCGCAAAUGAUGACAUUUAUUUGUCCAACGUAUAUCUGCCAGCUUUCGCAGAAAAGUUCCUCUGCUCGCAGUGCUUCGUUUGCAUAAACGGGGGCAAAGAAGUUAUUGCUUAUUUGCUUUGUAACGGCACGUGUAUUUAAAUGGUGUUUUUUAGAGAAUAAAUGUAUAGCUAAAAAAUAUUUACUUUUAGUACAUAUCGCAAAAAGCUGUUAUUACUGUCAUAAAUAUUUAGAAUAUUGCCAGUUAGAUAAUAGAUCGAUAGAGAUAUACGACGACAGUAUUAUCAGUACUGCUUUAUAGCAUUUUGGUAUCUAAUUGCGCACUCUAAUUUAGCUUAAAAGGCCACCAAGCAAACGUGCCAAAUUUUCUAGAUAGCGUUGCAAGCAGGAAUGGCAAUUAAAAAUAUGCGAUUCGAAAGAUAAAAGACUAUUUCCGAACAGUAUAGACGUAUCUACUUAUAUUAAACACUGUAGACAAGUUUUACUGAUUGUGCGAUGCGAUCUGAAAGCCAAGAUGGAGGCACCAGCCACAAUACGACACGGGUCAUUAUGGUGGUGACUCAGGAUCGACUCUCCAGAAGCUAUACCGAGUCCACGUAGGCGACUUCUGCCCAGGUUCAAGGAAUGAUCAGUAGUAAUCGUUGGUCACUAUGCUAUGAUCCAGUUUCAUCACAGCCGUCCUAGAACCAUCGCUGGCGUAGACUGGUUUAGUUCAAUCUGUAACUCUGUUACAGAUUGACUUAAUCUAUUGACAGCUAUAGUCAAGCACAUGUAGACGGUCAAACUCAGUAAACACAAGAAAUUAAGUAAAGACAUUAUUGAUCCCAAAAGGACACGUCAAGCAUCGCGUAACGUCUGCCAACUACGCAUUUACACGUUUGAAACCGUCGUGACUUCAUUUCAUUCACGAGUUCACUUCAUUUAGCGAAUUUUAAGCGUGAAGCCAAAUGGACGCAUCGUAUCUUAAAGGCACACGAUCUGAAUAAUUGUAACUUUUUUAAUUUUACAGGGAAAGAAAAUAUCUUGAUCGAAUGCUUUUGCCCUGUGUGUAUAUAUGCUUGUGAACGUGUAUCUUAGUUUCACAUCGCAGCUUCGAUAUGUUUGUCGCUAUUGUUAUAGCUUAGAACAUUUUAGAAAUACUAGAAGAAGAAGAGCACGACAAACGUGGCUUCGAAGUGAACUUCUGAAUCACGCUUAUGUUGACGUUUAUAUUUUAUCAACUAUCGGAACAUGUAAUUACCUGUUAUUAUUUUUGCGCUGACGGUACAGGAAAUUGUCACGGCAUUGUUAAACGGCAUUGUAGCAAUUGUUAAACUUGUCACGGCAACUAUUGUUUUUUGUUUAUUAACUCUGACUGUAUCUUCAUAGUGCCAAUUCGGCAGUGGUGUUUCUAAAUUUCCUAACAUUAUUUGCUAUGGAAUCAUUGCGAGCCCGACCGGAUGUGUCGACGAUUCAACAACAUCCUUCACAAACGAGCUAAUUUUUAUUCAUUUGUUUUACACGUUUUUAUAGUCGUUAUCCAAGUAUGUGUCUGGAAAAAUAUUCAUUCAAUUUUUAUGAAAGAAGUUCAGAAGUUCUGGCAUUGAAUUUCAGUUCCAUUGAAAACAAAAUUCUAGGAAAUCGCCCGGUGGGAAAUCCAUUUAAUCUCGUUAACGGAGCUUUUCGGAGAAAGUCUAAGAAUAUCAUCAGGGAAAAGCAGCAAGAUAGCUUAAUUUUAAUUGCUACUUUUCCCUUUUUCGACUAGCUACAACUAUCCUAGAACAUCCUACAGCUUUGAAACAAUGAGUUCGCUUAUAGCGAGAAGUCACAACUGCAUCCCAUCGUUAACCAAGAAGCGAUAUCUAUACGUAUCAAAAUGUAUAUCUACUUUAUCUACUCAAUGUUAGGUUUGCUAAGAAAUAUGUUCUAAUAAUUAAUUUUCUAUAUUCACCUACUAAAUAAUUAUCCUUUACAGAAGGUUCUACGAUGGAAGCACUUCGAAAUAAUCAUCACCAAACAUUGCCAGUACAAAAACUAGGAUUAGAUGAAAAGUACUUGCAAAACUAAAGAAACUUUACUUCAUUGGUUUAAUAUAAACAGAUCUAGGAAAUUAGGUGCAGACCCGAUUUCCAGAAGGAAAAGUUGUGUCUAGGUCCCAAAAGCGAGAACAGCUAGAAUAAAUAUAGUUGCGCAUGCAGCUUUAAAGUUAUCGAGAAAUUCUAUUUUUGCUUCUAUUUCUUGGUGAACUUGUCUUUUCUCCAGGUAAGGGAAAAAGCCCGAGUGGGUAAGAACAUUGCACCUUAUACAACGUGUGUGACUAUAUAAUAAAACUCCAAAGUUCUAUGUGUUAAAUAAAUCUUACACCAUUCAUGCUGA